UGGGGAAUAUUGGACAAUGGGGGCAACCCUGAUCCAGCGACGCCGCGUGUGUGAAGAAGGCCUGCGGGUUGUAAAGCACUUUUAGUGGGGAUGAAAAGCUCGGGGUUAAUACCUCCGGGUCUUGACCUAACCCAAAGAAAAAGCACCGGCUAACUCUGUGCCAGCAGCCGCGGUAAUACAGAGGGUGCAAGCGUUAAUCGGAAUUACUGGGCGUAAAGCGUGCGUAGAUGGUUAUGUAAGUCGGAUGUGAAAGCCCAGGGCUCAACCUUGGAAUUGCAUUCGAGACUGCAUAGCUAGGAUGCGGAAGAGGGAAGCGGAAUUUCCGGUGUAGCGGUGAAAUGCGUAGAUAUCGGAAGGAACACCAGUGGCGAAAGCGGCUUCCUGGUCCAGCAUCGACGUUCAGGCACGAAAGCGUGGGGAGCAAACAGGAUUAGAUACCCUGGUAGUCCACGCCAUAAACGAUGACAACUAGACGUUGAGAGGGUAAGCCUCCCAGUGUCGCAGCUAACGCGUU
RNAcentral lists this ribosomal RNA (514 nucleotides) under uncultured bacterium. Its description in RNAcentral is "bacterial SSU rRNA". It matches the Rfam family "Bacterial small subunit ribosomal RNA", at positions 355 to 861 of the family's 1533-position model. The record is from RNAcentral.